UGCUGUGUGUCUCUUGUUUAAACUCCCUUAAACUAAGAAGACAAGAACUGAGAUGUCACAGCAACCAUCAACCAAACUACCCAUCCAGUUGGCCCCCAAAGCUGCUGAGCCCUGAGAGAAGCCUCAGGGGAGCACGACGAAGUCUGUCCUGUGAAGACACGAGUCCCUUAGAGAACACGCACACCCGGAAGAUCAGUGGUAACAAGGGAGCAGGUGCUCAGUGAGUCUCUAGGCAAUGACCGCUGCAGCAUCUGGAGGAGAGAGUGAGCCCGGGGUCUGGGCCAGGCUUGGGAGGACUCAGGAGGCAGAGAGAAGAGCCAGGGCACUGGGGCCAGGCUUGGAGACAAGAAGAGCAGGAAGAGCUCGGCAGAAGAGGGCUGCCUAAGAGACACAGGUGGAGGUUGAGCUCCUGGGUUUUUACCCAGAGGAACUGGAAACGUGUCCACACAAAACCUGCGCGUGGAUGUUUACAGCAACUUUGUUCAUACUCACCAAAACUUGGAAGCUGCUGGGAUGUCCUUCAGCAGGUGAAGAGAAGGAGACAAG
RNAcentral lists this long non-coding RNA (546 nucleotides) under Pan troglodytes (chimpanzee). Its description in RNAcentral is "long non-coding RNA NONPTRT002407". Lineage: Eukaryota; Metazoa; Chordata; Mammalia; Primates; Hominidae. The record is from RNAcentral.